Molecule: ribosomal RNA, 61 nt
Filed under: Hymenobacter mucosus
Lineage: Bacteria; Pseudomonadati; Bacteroidota; Cytophagia; Cytophagales; Hymenobacteraceae
Source: RNAcentral
UUAAGCCCCGGAGCGCCCAUGGUACUGCCUUCACCGGCGGGAGAGUAGGUCGCCGCCAACC